AGAGUUUGAUCCUGGCUCAGAUUGAACGCUGGCGGCAGGCCUAACACAUGCAAGUCGAGCGGAUGAGGGGUGCUUGCACCCCGAUUCAGCGGCGGACGGGUGAGUAAUGCCUAGGAAUCUGCCCGAUAGUGGGGGACAACGUUUCGAAAGGAACGCUAAUACCGCAUACGUCCUACGGGAGAAAGUGGGGGCUCUUCGGACCUCACGCUAUCGGAUGAGCCUAGGUCGGAUUAGCUAGUUGGUGGGGUAAAGGCCCACCAAGGCGACGAUCCGUAACUGGUCUGAGAGGAUGAUCAGUCACACUGGAACUGAGACACGGUCCAGACUCCUACGGGAGGCAGCAGUGGGGAAUAUUGGACAAUGGGCGAAAGCCUGAUCCAGCCAUGCCGCGUGUGUGAAGAAGGUCUUCGGAUUGUAAAGCACUUUAAGUCGGGAGGAAGGGCUGUAGGUUAAUACCCUGCGGUUUUGACGUUACCGACAGAAUAAGCACCGGCUAACUUCGUGCCAGCAGCCGCGGUAAUACGAAGGGUGCAAGCGUUAAUCGGAAUUACUGGGCGUAAAGCGCGCGUAGGUGGUUUGGUAAGUUGGAUGUGAAAGCCCCGGGCUCAACCUGGGAACUGCAUCCAAAACUGCCUGACUAGAGUACGGUAGAGGGUGGUGGAAUUUCCUGUGUAGCGGUGAAAUGCGUAGAUAUAGGAAGGAACACCAGUGGCGAAGGCGACCACCUGGACUGAUACUGACACUGAGGUGCGAAAGCGUGGGGAGCAAACAGGAUUAGAUACCCUGGUAGUCCACGCCGUAAACGAUGUCGACUAGCCGUUGGGCUCCUUGAGAGCUUAGUGGCGCAGCUAACGCAUUAAGUCGACCGCCUGGGGAGUACGGCCGCAAGGUUAAAACUCAAAUGAAUUGACGG
This 913-nucleotide ribosomal RNA is filed under the name uncultured bacterium. Its description in RNAcentral is "bacterial SSU rRNA". It matches the Rfam family "Bacterial small subunit ribosomal RNA", at positions 8 to 916 of the family's 1533-position model. The record is from RNAcentral.